UACCUGCAGCUCAAGUGGUGACCGCUAUUAUUGGGCCUAAAACGUCCGUAUCCGGCUGAGUAAAUGCCUGGGUAAAUCGUGUCGCUUAACUAUACGAAUUCCGGGUAGACUGCUAAACUUGAGACCGGGAGAGGCUAGAGGUACUCCUGGGGUAGAGGUGAAAUUCUGUAAUCCUAGGGGGACCACCAGUGGCGAAGGCGUCUAGCCAGAACGGGUCUGACGGUGGGGGACGAAGCCCUGGGGCACAAACCGGAUUAGAUACCCGGGUAGUCCAGGGUGUAAACGCUGCUUGCUUGAUGUUAGCUGGGCUCCGAGCCCGGCUAGUGUCGGAGAGAAGUUGUUAAGCAAGCUGUCUGGGAAGUACGGUCGCAAGACUGAAAACUUAAAGGAAUUGGGCGGGGGAGCACAGCAACGGGUGGAGCGUGCGGUUU
Molecule: ribosomal RNA, 431 nt
Filed under: uncultured archaeon
Lineage: Archaea
Description: bacterial SSU rRNA
Rfam family: Archaeal small subunit ribosomal RNA
Source: RNAcentral